UUUGUUACUUCAAACCAAUCGGACUUCGGUCUGACAUCAAGUGAUAUUGAACAAUUUAGCUGAUCGCACGGUCUAAGAACCGGCGACAUAUCCUUCAAAUGUCUGCCUUAUCAACUUUCGAUGGUAGAUUAUGCGCCUACCAUGGUUGUAACGGGUAACGGAGAAUCAGGGUUUGAUUCCGGAGAGGGAGCCUGAGAAACGGCUACCACAUCCAAGGAAGGCAGCAGGCACGCAAAUUACCCACUCCCGGCACGGGGAGGUAGUGACGAAAAAUAACAAGCUGGUCUCAAUGAGUUCCAGCAUUGUAAUGGGAACAGUUUAAAUCUUUUAUCGAGGAUCUAUUGGAGGGCAAGUCUGGUGCCAGCAGCCGCGGUAAUUCCAGCUCCAAUAGCGUAUAUUAAAGUUGUUGCGGUUAAAAAGCUCGUAGUUGGAUCUAGGAUUAGGGCUACGGUCGUUCAGCUUGGACGUACUGUAUGCCCGACUCCUUUUCUCUAGUAUUCGAUUGUUGCUCUUAAAUGAGUGACUUUAGUUGCUGGAACUUUUACCUUGAAAAAAUUGAAGUGCUCAAAGCAGGUU
Molecule: ribosomal RNA, 576 nt
Filed under: uncultured eukaryote
Lineage: Eukaryota
Description: SSU rRNA
Rfam family: Eukaryotic small subunit ribosomal RNA
Source: RNAcentral